UGAAAAUAACAUACAGGCAAUGGUUAUACUGAUUUUGCUAAAAUGAUGGCAGAUAUUGCUACAAUGAUAGCAUUCAAAUAAACAGGGAAAUCUUAAAAUUAAACUGUAAUUUUUUAACUAAAAUCACUACUCUGCUUCAUUCAAUCAGUUUACCACAAAAUAUAAUUGAAAAUCCAAAAUGCAAAGACUAACUGGUAUUUCUGUUGUCCAAAGAACAGGAAAAGAAAAGUUACAUGCCUUCAAUUUAUUUUAAGCAAAGAAUAAGCGGAAGCCGAUUGCUUUCAUUUUCAAUUUUUGGUCUGCCCUGCUCCAAAGCCAACUAUCUUGCCCUUGUUCCUAGCAAAGAAUCAAUAAAGUUCACAAAAGAUAUUAGGGAAAGAUAAGAAAGAAAAUGAAAUAUUGGGAAAUUUCAAUUCCUUAAUUCCUUGAGCAAAGAUAACCAUCAAAAGUAUAUCAUCUAACUUGGAGAUAUUUUUCACCUCUUUGAUUGUCAUUCUUCCUUACAAGCAAAAGGAAAAAAAAAAAUGGUCGAGGCUAUUGUUUCCUUUGCCAUUGAAAGAAUUGCUGAUGCAGUUGUUCGUGAAGCAAGCUCAUUUUAUGGUGUGAGGGAUGAAGUUGAGCAGUUGCAAACUGAAUUGAAGCGGAUUCAGUGCUUCUUGAAAGAUGCAGACAGCAAGCAGGAUCAAGAUGAGCGUGUUCGCAAUUGCAUAGCUGAAAUCAGAGACAUAGCAUACGAGGCAGAGGAUGUCAUCGAUACCUUUCUUCUCAAAGCUGCAACUGGACCUAGAAAAGGAAUAUGGAGACUCAUCAAGAGAGCUACCUUCAUGGUCAUUAAGGUUCCUUAUCUCCAUGAAAUUGGAACCCAGAUCAAAUCUAUCCAAGCUAAGAUAGGGAGUGUCUCUACAAGCAUGCUGACUUACGGAAUCAAAUUUACUGCAGGAGAGGGGUCUAGAUCUACAAGUGAGAUGCAACAGCGAUUGAGAAGAUCAUUUCCACAUGAUGAGGAAGAUGAUGUUAUCAGCUUGGAGGCAAGCCUAAGGGAUGUUCAAUCUCAAUUGAUGAUGGAGGAAGAGCAACGCCGUGUUGUUUCUAUAGUUGGAAUGGGAGGGCUAGGUAAAACCACACUUGCCAAGACAAUGUACAAUGACAGUCAUGUGAAGCAACAUUUUGAUUGUCAUUCUUGGUCCUUCAUAUCUCAGCAGUUCUCCACAAGGGAUGUUUUGGUUGGUAUUCUGAUGGAAGUUGCAUCUAAGCAGGAUAAAUUUGAGUUGGUAAAACUGGAAGAGGAGAAGCUUCUUCAAUCGAGGUUGGAGAGGGUAGAAUACGAAGUGGAUAGAAUGGAAGAACAAGAAUUGUCUAAAUUGAUGUCCAAACAAAAGAAAAGGAUGAAAGAAGAACAAUUGUCUGAAUCGAUGUUCAAAUCCAUGUUGAAACAAGAGAAAAGGAUAGCGGAAGAACAAUUGUUUAGAUCGAUGAUGAAACAAAUGAAAGUAGAACCCAUGUUUAAUUCAAUGUUGGAAAGGAUGAGAGAAGAAAAACUAGUUGAAACACUCUUUGAAGUGUUAAAGAGGAAGCGAUACUUGGUGGUUCUUGAUGAUAUUUGGAAGAAUGAAGCUUGGGAUAGUUUAAAACAUGCUUUUCCUUCAAAGGGCAAGGAAGGGAGCAAAGUUUUAUUGACCACUCGGAACAAAGAAGUUGUUUCUUAUGCCGAUCCAUGGAGCUUUACAGUGGAACCGCCUCUUCUAACAAAUGAUGAGGCCUGGGAACUUCUCAGCAGGAAAGCAUUCCCAAAAGCUAUUCUCAUCAAACAUGGUUACUCGCUAAGACAUGAGGAGUUGGGAAGGGAAAUGGUGAAAAAAAUGAGAGGAUUGCCACUAGCAAUUGUUGUAGGAGCCUUAUUGACCACAAAGAAGUCAUUGAAGGAGUGG
Molecule: unclassified non-coding RNA, 1928 nt
Filed under: Hevea brasiliensis (rubber tree)
Lineage: Eukaryota; Viridiplantae; Streptophyta; Magnoliopsida; Malpighiales; Euphorbiaceae
Source: RNAcentral